UGUACGGGCAGUGAUUCACAUGAACUCCUCACACCAGUGACCCAAGGCAAUCCUUCCUACAGCCCAGGAGUUUUGUAAGAUUGAAAGGCUUCAGAGAAUCAAGAAGUAUUUCUUCAACAGGGCUUGGAAGUUGUACUCGGAUGGGAGACUGCCUGGGAAUACUGAGUGCUGGAGGCUUCCCUGCCUCCUUCUGAACUCAUCCAUGGACACGGGUGCUUUGGAGUGUCCUGCUCUGCAUAGACUCAUCCACAGGUCACAGACCCUUGGAGUUCACCCUGGAGUUCCAGUUUGUCCAGUACACAGGAACACUGCUGUUAUCACAAUGUUCCCAGGCCCAGCAGAGUCAGAUAAGUGGCACAGCAAGCAGUGAAAGCAAAAAGCCAGCCACUAACAAGCACUAAUGUACAGGAGGCAGCAAGGCCCAUGGCAAGCACAGAGCCUGUCAACAGCUCAACAGCAGCUAGAAAUGUGAUCUAGCACAUUCCAAUCAAAUCUGGUGCUGCCUUGGACCCUUCAAGCCUUGCAUUGGGUGACUGUGCAAGCUCUGCUCAGCAAUAACAAAAACAUCCCUAAAUUAUCAACACUGUUUUCAGCACAAAUCCAGAACACAGCCCCAGAGUGGCUGCUAUGAGGAAAAUUAACCCUACCCCAUCCAAAACCAGCACAACUGGGAAGGAAAAUAAUAAGAUUACUCUAAUUAUUAUGAAAAUGAUGAGAUAAGAUGCCAGUUUUUUGAAGGCCCAGUGGGAUUUCAAGCUCCAUGGCACCAGACUAACAUGAGAAUUUAUACAAUCUACAGGUAUUUCAAACACAAAGCCAUGUUACUCUGUUUCUCUAUGUUGCUUUUGUUCUCUCUGCAGUCUCAAAGUGCUCACUGAAUUCAGCAGUUUGGCAGAUUGCAAUUUUAAAGAUAAGAAAUUUGUUACAUCAAAUUUCCAGCUACAGUACUGCUGAAAGCACAAACGUAAUUUUCUUUUACAUAAUUAAACUUUGAGAUUGCCUUGAGAUAAAAUAUUGUUACAAUUAAAAGCAAUGUCUAU
This is a long non-coding RNA of Neopelma chrysocephalum (saffron-crested tyrant-manakin), 1040 nucleotides long. RefSeq lists it as uncharacterized. The transcript has 2 exons. The record is from RefSeq and is a predicted model, not a curated record. NCBI's taxonomy places the organism in Eukaryota, Metazoa, Chordata, Aves, Passeriformes, Pipridae.